RNAcentral lists this ribosomal RNA (293 nucleotides) under uncultured bacterium. RNAcentral's name for it is "partial 16S ribosomal RNA". It matches the Rfam family "Archaeal small subunit ribosomal RNA", at positions 455 to 747 of the family's 1478-position model. The record is from RNAcentral.
GUGCCAGCAGCCGCGGUAAUACCGGCAGCCCGAGUGGUGGCCGAUCUUAUUGGGCCUAAAGCGUCCGUAGCUGGCCUCGCAAGUCCGUCGGGAAAUCCAGUAGCCCAACUACUGGGCGUCCGGCGGAAACUACAAGGCUUGGGACCGGAAGGCUCGAGGGGUACGUCCGGGGUAGGAGUGAAAUCCCAUAAUCCUGGACGGACCGCCGGUGGCGAAAGCGCCUCGAGAGGACGGACCCGACGGUGAGGAACGAAAGCCAGGGUCUCGAACCGGAUUAGAAACCCGUGUAGUCC